This 1829-nucleotide long non-coding RNA is filed under the name Homo sapiens (human). Its description in RNAcentral is "HSALNT0208670". The record is from RNAcentral. Lineage: Eukaryota; Metazoa; Chordata; Mammalia; Primates; Hominidae.
AAUUCUUCAUCUGUAAUUUGUUAUUCUCUUUUCUGAAAGGCAAGAAAAUAAAAAAGAUGUGGGCAAACUCCAUAUCUGACAUAUAUUGAUAUAGUUUAUAGGAUUUUUUUUCAGUCUCCUAGUAAUCAAGUGCACUAUUUAUAUUCCUCAUCUUUUUUAUUUGAUUAUCAAAAUAGUUGUGAGAAUCAAAUUAACUGUACCAUAUCCAAUUCUAUCAUCACAUUCAACAUAUUCAGAGGUUAUUUCUUUGUAGAAUAAAUAUAACAAAGUAAGUUCUAAAAAUAUCUCAAUUGUUUUACAAGGAUUAUUUUUAACAUAAAUUUUCUAUAUAUUUCACAGCCAAAAAUAUAUUAUUAAAGGUAAAAUAUUUCCUAAUAUUUCAUCAAAUUAUGCUAUUUUCUAAUUGUGAAGUAGCCCUUGCAUAUCCACUGUUAAUAGUAUAGUCAUUUUUGUUUACAUAGGUCUUCAUAAAAAAUGAAAGUACAUAAUCACUGACAAUGAUCUUUAUAAGAUAUUCUGUUUGCCUUACACUUUAGAGCAACAGAAAAAAAUUAGAAUUAGUGUGGCCAUUCCAUAAUAGGAGAAUUAUUAUUUUCUCUAAAAUAAUAAUCAACAGAAUAUUUUAGCAGGAAAAAAUACAAUUACCUUAAUCUCAAGUGUUUCAAGUAAUUGCCUGUGCCUUGUCCAAAUGAAGAAGGAUAUAAAUCACUUGAUUUUAUUGGGUUUUCAGAGUUUUAUUCUACCCUAAGGCAGAGUCUAGGCAACAAAUAUAUCUAGCCUAAAAUAGAUUGAAGUGAAUUAUCUAAGAAAAAUAAUAUCUAAAAUGAUGCAUGAUAAGAACUUAAGAGUUAUAGAUAUGGUUUCUAUCAUCUCAAAAGAAUAAAUGUCAGGGUGCUAUUUUUAUUAUUAGCAAAAGAAACUGUGUGACUUCUCUUAAGGAAUUAUGUUUAUUACCAGAAAUUUUAACCAAAGAACAUCAGCUAGAAGACAUAAAUCCCACAUACCCAGCAUGUUAUAGAGGAAAAGUGGGUCUUGAAAUAGACAAAUACAGAUUUGAAUCUCAGUCUCACUCCUCUGAUACUGAACAUUUUGUAGAUUCAGAUACCCUGUAUAGAAUAUGGGGAUCACAAUUCCCUCAGCAUAUAAGGAUUAAAUUACAUUAUAUUUGUUUUAAGUAUACCUACAUUUCAGUACCUGAAUUCAACCACAAGGAAGCAAGAGGUUUUUCAAUAAAUACUAAUUUCCUCUACAAAUUAAGGGAAAUGAAUUUAUAAAAUAUGUCGAACAAGAGCAUAGUAAUAUUUGUGAAAGUACUUUACAAAAUAUAUAAGCUUAAUAGAAUGUAAGAUAAAGUCUUAAAUUUGAAAAAGUUUCGAUUGCAUAGACAAAUGUCUACAUAUAAAUACACAAAAUAAGCAUUAAAUAAGUAUUUCGUCUUACUCGUUUCUAUUACAGCUACACAUAGAGGCUCCCAUAAAGUUAUUACAACAGAUUUUAUUUAAAAAUCAGUAGAAUUCUUCAUAUCAACUAAAAACAAAUGGUAACAAUUCCCUAAAUUAAUUGAAGAGUAGAAUAUAAAUGAUCAUACAAAGAUAUGUAAUUAAUACUGGUUUAUUAAUUGAUAAUAUGAAAAUUCUUAUUACAGGCACAAGAAGAUGUUUAUGAACACUUAAGGAAAAUUUUUUUUUUUUUUUUACAUGGAGUCUCGCUCUGUCGCCCAUGCUGGAGUGCAAUGGCGUGAUCUUGGCUCACUGCAACCUCCGCCUCCUGGGUUCAAGCGAUUCUCCUGCUUCAGCCUCCCGAGUAACUGGGAUCACAGGCGCCUGCCA